Molecule: small nucleolar RNA, 82 nt
Filed under: Paecilomyces variotii No. 5
Lineage: Eukaryota; Fungi; Ascomycota; Eurotiomycetes; Eurotiales; Thermoascaceae
Description: Byssochlamys spectabilis No. 5 A. fumigatus snoRNA Afu_294
Rfam family: A. fumigatus snoRNA Afu_294
Source: Rfam by way of RNAcentral
UUUCGUGAUGAACUCUUUAUUUCGCUGUGUUCUUACCGAGUUACACGUUGAAGAAUCAAUAUUCAUCUUGGAGAACUGAUUC